Molecule: long non-coding RNA, 345 nt
Organism: Gossypium raimondii (Peruvian cotton)
Lineage: Eukaryota; Viridiplantae; Streptophyta; Magnoliopsida; Malvales; Malvaceae
Exons: 3
Source: RefSeq, a predicted model, not a curated record
CAUGGACGAAACAGAGAAGGAAAGAAGGAAAGAAAGAACAGAGAAAAUUGAGGUUUUGAGGUUCCAAGCUCAUUUGCUAAUGUCAUGCAAGAGUCAUUGUCCAAGAAAGGGAAGAAGAAGGUGGAUAAGGAUUGACUCGAGAAAAAUUUCGGUUAGUAGAAAAUCAGUGUCGCUCCAGCAUCCAAAGUAAUCCCGACUUCAGAGAAAUUUUAGUGAUAUACAUUUCUUUUAAUAACGUGGCAUGUACCUAAGUAAUAUAUAUACCUAAGUGAUGUACAGCGAUUAGUCAAUUUGAAUGUUUGUAUCUAUGAUAUUGCUAAAAGAAGAUGUGUGAGUAUGUGAUAA